GCUGGGCAUUGGUGGUGCAUGCCUGUAGUCCCAGCUACUUUGGAGGCUGAGGUGGGAGGAUCACUUGAGCCCAAGAGGUCAAGGCUGCAGUGAGCCAUGAUCAUGCCACUGCACUUUGGCCUGGGCAAGACAGUGAGACCCUCUCUCAA
Macaca fascicularis (crab-eating macaque) is the source of this 149-nucleotide unclassified non-coding RNA. It matches the Rfam family "Metazoan signal recognition particle RNA". Rfam says of the family: The signal recognition particle (SRP) is a universally conserved ribonucleoprotein. It is involved in the co-translational targeting of proteins to membranes. The record is from Ensembl. NCBI's taxonomy places the organism in Eukaryota, Metazoa, Chordata, Mammalia, Primates, Cercopithecidae.